ACCUGCCCCCAUCUCUGGGAUAACCGUUGGAAACGGCGGCUAAUACCGGAUACGACCACCUUCCGCAUGGUUGGUGGUGGAAAGUUUUUGCGGUUGGGGAGGGGCCCGCGGCCUAUCAGCUUGUUGGUGCGGUAGUGGCGCACCAAGGCUUUGACGGGUAGCCGGCCUGAGAGGGCGGUCGGUCACAUUGGGACUGAGAUACGGCCCAGACUCCUACGGGAGGCAGCAGUGGGGAAUUUUGCACAAUGGGCGCAAGCCUGAUGCAGCGACGCCGCGUGAGGGAUGACGGCUUUCGGGUUGUAAACCUCUUUUAUCCACCACGAAGGCCAGGUAUUCGCCUGGUUGACGGUAGUGGUUGAAUAAGCGCCGGCUAACUACGUGCCAGCAGCCGCGGUAAGACGUAGGGCGCGAGCGUUGUCCGGAUUUAUUGGGCGUAAAGGGCUCGUAGGCGGUUGAUUGCGUCCGCCGUGAAAGGCCUCGGCUUAACCGGGGUUUUGCGGUGGAUACGGGUCGACUUGAGGCAAUUAGGGGAGAUCGGAAUUCUACGUGUAGCGGUGAAAUGCGCAGAUAUGUGGAGGAACACCGGUGGCGAAGGCGGAUCUCUGGGAUUGUUCUGACGCUGAGGAGCGAAAGCGUGGGGAGCGAACAGGAUUAGAUACCCUGGUAGUCCAUGCUGUAAACGGUGGGCGCUAGGUGUGGGGUCACGUUGGUUGAUUCUGUGCCGUAGCUAACGCAUUAAGCGCCCCGCCUGGGGAGUACGGCCGCAAGGCUAAAACUCAAAGGAAUUGACGGGGGCCCGCACAAGCGGCGGAGCAUGCGGAUUAAUUCGAUGCAACGCGAAGAACCUUACCUAGGUUUGACAUCACCCGGAAACCUCUAGAGAUAGAGGCCUCUUCGGACUGGGUGACAGGUGGUGCAUGGCUGUCGUCAGCUCGUGUCGUGAGAUGUUGGGUUAAGUCCCGCAACGAGCGCAACCCUUAUCCCGUGUUGCCAGCAUUCAGUUGGGGACUCACGGGAGACUGCCGGGGUUAACUCGGAGGAAGGUGGGGAUGAGGUCAAGUCAUCAUGCCCCUUAUGUCUAGGGCUUCACGCAUGCUACAUUGGCCGGUACAGCGGGUUGCGAUACCGUGAGGUGGAGCGAAUCCCUGUAAAGCCGGUCUUGGUUCGGAUUCGAGUCUGCAACUCGACUCGAUGAAGGUGGAGUCGCUAGUAAUCGCAGAUCAGCAACGCUGCG
This 1234-nucleotide ribosomal RNA is filed under the name Glycomyces sp. RNAcentral's name for it is "bacterial SSU rRNA". It matches the Rfam family "Bacterial small subunit ribosomal RNA", at positions 124 to 1361 of the family's 1533-position model. Lineage: Bacteria; Bacillati; Actinomycetota; Actinomycetes; Glycomycetales; Glycomycetaceae. The record is from RNAcentral.